This 342-nucleotide long non-coding RNA is filed under the name Oryza brachyantha (malo sina). Its description in RNAcentral is "long non-coding RNA (OBRA_LNC002934)". Lineage: Eukaryota; Viridiplantae; Streptophyta; Magnoliopsida; Poales; Poaceae. The record is from RNAcentral.
GUGACUAGUCAAGCAGGCGAUUAUAUGUAUAUGUAAGGCCUUCCAUGCAGCAGAGCACUGUAGUUUAAUUUCAACAGAAAAAUAUUGAUAUGUGGGAGAAAUAUAAUGGAGGGCUACGUAAAGCAAGUGAAUACACAUUAUGGUAGAUACAAAAACGAGGAACAAGAUUAAAAGCCUCCUUGCAACUCUGUGCUCAGUUUAUAAAUUAAAUGAAGGGAUGCAUGCAGGACAAGGCUAGGGAAGAUGAAUCUAAUGUCAAGGAGAAAUUAGUCACAUGAAUCUUAAAUUUAGAGCUGAUUCGGGGUUUUUUUUUAUCAAAGAUUAUUUUUAGGUUUUUUGCUU